RNAcentral lists this long non-coding RNA (454 nucleotides) under Phoenix dactylifera (date palm). Its description in RNAcentral is "long non-coding RNA (PDAC_LNC016685)". The record is from RNAcentral. Lineage: Eukaryota; Viridiplantae; Streptophyta; Magnoliopsida; Arecales; Arecaceae.
UGCAUAUAUUAGGUGCGUGCGCCUCUAUUCUCUGAAAUUUUAGUAGUAUUCAUUUAACUAUUUGAAAUUAGGAUCUACAGAAUAUUCACAAGUUACCAACUCUAGUUCAUUUUAUUUUAUUUCUAAAUGUUAUUCAUAUGGUAUGACUUGGUUAAACUGAUCCAAUUAACCCAGUCCAACCUGACCUAACCUAACCUAACUUGAACCAACUCGAUUUUGAACCCGAGCUCAAAAAUUAAGGGUGAUUGGAUUUGGAUCGAAGAGAUUGGGUUAAAGAUCGAAUCUCUAGUUCGAAGAGCUUGGGUUGCUACCACAAAAAGAUCGGAUCUGGUUCGGUGCUGGGCAGGGUCUCAGGAUCUCUAGUUGGGCUUGGUUUGACCUCUAACUUGAUCUGACCUAUCCGAAUUUCUACCUAAUUAGUCAGACUCGAUCAUGCUUCCAAAGAAUAGAAAAG